This 374-nucleotide ribosomal RNA is filed under the name uncultured bacterium. RNAcentral describes it as "bacterial SSU rRNA". It matches the Rfam family "Bacterial small subunit ribosomal RNA", at positions 525 to 896 of the family's 1533-position model. The record is from RNAcentral.
ACGUAGGGUGCGAGCGUUGUCCGGAAUUAUUGGGCGUAAAGAGCUUGUAGGCGGUUUGUCGCGUCUGCCGUGAAAAUCCGGGGCUCAACCCCGGACUUGCGGUGGGUACGGGCAGACUAGAGUGUGGUAGGGGAGACUGGAAUUCCUGGUGUAGCGGUGAAAUGCGCAGAUAUCAGGAGGAACACCGAUGGCGAAGGCAGGUCUCUGGGCCACUACUGACGCUGAGAAGCGAAAGCGUGGGGAGCGAACAGGAUUAGAUACCCUGGUAGUCCACGCCGUAAACGUUGGGAACUAGGUGUGGGCCUCAUUCCACGAGGUCUGUGCCGCAGCUAACGCAUUAAGUUCCCCGCCUGGGGAGUACGGCCGCAAGGCUA